This 253-nucleotide ribosomal RNA is filed under the name uncultured bacterium. RNAcentral's name for it is "partial 16S ribosomal RNA". It matches the Rfam family "Bacterial small subunit ribosomal RNA", at positions 524 to 776 of the family's 1533-position model. The record is from RNAcentral.
UACGAAGGGGACUAGCGUUGCUCGGAAUCACUGGGCGUAAAGCGCACGUAGGCGGAUCUUUAAGUCAGGGGUGAAAUCCCAAGGCUCAACCUUGGAACUGCCUUUGAUACUGGGGAUCUCGAGUCCGGAAGAGGUUGGUGGAACUGCGAGUGUAGAGGUGAAAUUCGUAGAUAUUCGCAAGAACACCAGUGGCGAAGGCGGCCCCCUGGUUGGAUACUGACGCUGAUACGCGAAAGCGUGGGGAGCAAACAGG